Long non-coding RNA from Pezoporus occidentalis (night parrot), 1039 nucleotides. RefSeq lists it as uncharacterized. The transcript has 2 exons. Lineage: Eukaryota; Metazoa; Chordata; Aves; Psittaciformes; Psittacidae. The record is from RefSeq and is a predicted model, not a curated record.
CAACAUGGGGCACAUCCUAACAGGGUCCUGGUCCACCCCCAUGGCCACCAUGGGGAUGCAGGGCAGGUACUCCCACAUCAGCCCGUGGUCAGGGCCAACCCUGCAUCCCUGCCUGAGCCAGCAGUGAGAGCUGGUGGGACUCGGGUGGGAGGCUGGUCUUGCCCUGGUCACGCAAACAGGGCUCCUCACUGGGGGCCACAGAGGAAGGCAGUUACAGUUUAACUCGCUCAGCCCACAGAGCCUGCUGUCGGGAGCGCCUAAUGAUUAAAGGAGGAGGCAUGAACUCUGCCUGCUCUCCUCAGCCUUGCUACCGAGUUACAUGGAGCCAGGCAAGUCAGGACUUCACCCCAUCGCAGCCGCCAGUGAAUGGCUCAGUUCACUCCUUUGUUGGGGACUUCAGAGGAAGAGGAAAGAGGAGAGAGGAGGAGGUCUGCAGCCAUGGAUCACAGCAGGAGAGCUGUACCCUGAUCCACCCUCCACCCUGAGGAGCUCAAGAUCCAGAUAUCCCCUGUGGGCACCUGACAGGCUUCCCAGGGCUGCACUUUGGAGGACCACGAGGGUAGGGGCAAACUGGACAGAGGAUAACGUGUAACCAUUGAAUGUGAAGUGGUAGCCUGCCAUGUAGCUCCAUUUGACCUCUGGAGCAGCACCCCCCCCAGCCAGUAGCACCAUCCAGAUGGGGGGCAUCACUCACAGGAACCCUUCCAAUGCAUCAUUGAGGUGAGGAAAGGCAAAUGCACAACAUAGAGUUGCUGCAUUGCCCUUUGUGCCCCAUGCCGACAGAGGGGAAAAGCAUGUUUGCAGAUGUCCAUCUCCAAAGGCAACAGUUUCUGCCCAUUCCAUGGACCCCCUGUCUGGCUCCUGUCUCUUCUCAGCACGGUGUCCCUGGGUCCAGGAUGGAUUUUACUUGGUGAUGUCAGGCGUGAUGAAUCCUGGUUUAAUUGACCGUGGGCGAAAUCGUGCUUCGAUGGUUAAUGUUAUACUCGGGGCUGGGAAAACUACUGCAAGAUCAUAGCAAUUAGAGCUGGAAAUGAUUCAA